Molecule: ribosomal RNA, 484 nt
Filed under: uncultured bacterium
Lineage: Bacteria
Description: partial 16S ribosomal RNA
Rfam family: Bacterial small subunit ribosomal RNA
Source: RNAcentral
AUUGAACGCUGGCGGCAGGCCUAACACAUGCAAGUCGAGCGGAUGAAGGGAGCUUGCUCCUGGAUUCAGCGGCGGACGGGUGAGUAAUGCCUAGGAAUCUGCCUGGUAGUGGGGGAUAACGUCCGGAAACGGGCGCUAAUACCGCAUACGUCCUGAGCGAGAAAGAGGGGGAUCUUCGGACCUCACGCUAUCAGAUGAGCCUAGGUCGGAUUAGCUAGUUGGUGGGGUAAAGGCCUACCAAGGCGACGAUCCGUAACUGGUCUGAGAGGAUGAUCAGUCACACUGGAACUGAGACACGGUCCAGACUCCUACGGGAGGCAGCAGUGGGGAAUAUUGGACAAUGGGCGAAAGCCUGAUCCAGCCAUGCCGCGUGUGUGAAGAAGGUCUUCGGAUUGUAAAGCACUUUAAGUUGGGAGGAAGGGCAGUAAGUUAAUACCUUGCUGUUUUGACGUUACCAACAGAAUAAGCACCGGCUAACUACGUG